AUGGCGUCGAGCCCCAGCUCCAGCUCCAGCCUGAGGAGCUCCUGCUCCUUCCCCAACCUGCUGCUGUGGCUCCUCAACCUCUCCCUGCUCGCCCUCGCGGCGUCCGCGCUCGGCCCGGCGCUGCUGCUCCGGCCCCGCCCGACGCCCUUCGGCUGGGCGCUCGUCUCCGUGCACGCCGCCACUCUACUCUCCGCCCUCGCGUCCAUGUACACGCACCUCGCCCGCCGCCGCCUCUGCUGCCACGCUCACGCGGCCCUCGCGGUCACCGCGCUCUGCAGCCACGCGCUCGCCUCCUACGCCCUGCUCCUCCGCCGCGACCGCAGCCUCGCUCUGCUCGCGUCGGCCAGGGACCGGAGGGAGCAGGUCGCGCUGGUGCUCCUGGAGGCGGCGCUGCUGCUGGCCAUGUUCCUCGUGCAGGCCGUGGCGCUGGCGGCGGCCUGCGCCGUGGGCCGGCGGUGGGCGAGGGAGCACGAGGCGGCCGAGGCCGAGAAGGCCGCCGCGGCGAGGAAGAUGGCGCGCGUGCGGGCCGGCGUGACGCCCGUGGACGAGAAGGGGGCGAGCGGCAAGGUGGUGCUCACGGGAAACGCCGACGAGUGCUGA
Molecule: ribosomal RNA, 600 nt
Filed under: Triticum aestivum (bread wheat)
Lineage: Eukaryota; Viridiplantae; Streptophyta; Magnoliopsida; Poales; Poaceae
Description: partial small subunit ribosomal RNA
Source: RNAcentral